RNAcentral lists this small nuclear RNA (103 nucleotides) under Castor canadensis (American beaver). Lineage: Eukaryota; Metazoa; Chordata; Mammalia; Rodentia; Castoridae. The record is from RNAcentral.
GCUCAACUUCAGCAGAACAUAUACUAAAAUUAUAAUGAUAUGGAGCUAGCAUGAACCUCUGCACAAGGAUGACAUGCAACUUCACUAAGUGUUCCAUAUGUUG